GCCUACGUGGCUGAGUUGGUUAAGCAUCUGACUUCCGCUCAGGUCAUGAUCUCAUGGUUCGUGGGUU
Molecule: transfer RNA, 67 nt
Filed under: Felis catus (domestic cat)
Lineage: Eukaryota; Metazoa; Chordata; Mammalia; Carnivora; Felidae
Also listed under: 1 other name
Rfam family: tRNA
About the family: Transfer RNA (tRNA) molecules are approximately 80 nucleotides in length. Their secondary structure includes four short double-helical elements and three loops (D, anti-codon, and T loops). Further hydrogen bonds mediate the characteristic L-shaped molecular structure. tRNAs have two regions of fundamental functional importance: the anti-codon, which is responsible for specific mRNA codon recognition, and the 3' end, to which the tRNAs corresponding amino acid is attached (by aminoacyl-tRNA synthetases). tRNAs cope with the degeneracy of the genetic code in two manners: having more than one tRNA (with a specific anti-codon) for a particular amino acid; and 'wobble' base-pairing, i.e. permitting non-standard base-pairing at the 3rd anti-codon position.
Source: Rfam by way of RNAcentral